UACGUAGGGGGCUAGCGUUGUCCGGAAUCAUUGGGCGUAAAGCGCGUGUAGGCGGUCCGGUAAGUCCGCUGUGAAAGUCGAGGGCUCAACCCUCGAAUGCCGGUGGAUACUGCAGGGCUAGAGUCCGGAAGAGGCGAGUGGAAUUCCUGGUGUAGCGGUGGAAUGCGCAGAUAUCAGGAGGAACACCAAUAGCGAAGGCAGCUCGCUGGGACGGUACUGACGCUAAGGCGCGAAAGCGUGGGGAGCGAACAGG
RNAcentral lists this ribosomal RNA (253 nucleotides) under uncultured bacterium. RNAcentral describes it as "partial 16S ribosomal RNA". It matches the Rfam family "Bacterial small subunit ribosomal RNA", at positions 524 to 776 of the family's 1533-position model. The record is from RNAcentral.